GGUGAAUUUUCCGCAAUGGGCGCAAGCCUGACGGAGCAAUACCGCGUGAGGGAGGAAGGCUCUUGGGUCGUAAACCUCUUUUAUCAGGGAAGAACACAAUGACGGUACCUGAUGAAUCAGCAUCGGCUAACUCCGUGCCAGCAGCCGCGGUAAUACGGAGGAUGCAAGCGUUAUCCGGAAUUAUUGGGCGUAAAGCGUCCGCAGGUGGUUUUGAAAGUUUGCUGUCAAAGCGCGAGGCUCAACUUCGUACCGGCGGUGAAAACUUCAAGACUAGAGUUUGGUAGGGGUCACGGGAAUUCCCAGUGUAGCGGUGAAAUGCGUAGAUAUUGGGAAGAACACCAGCGGCGAAAGCGCGUGACUGGGCCUGAACUGACACUCAUGGACGAAAGCUAGGGGAGCGAAAGGGAUUAGAUACCCCUGUAGUCCUAGCCGUAAACGAUGACAACUAGGUGUUGCCCGUAUCGACCCGGGCAGUGCCGUAGCCAACGCGUUAAGUUGUC
This 500-nucleotide ribosomal RNA is filed under the name uncultured cyanobacterium. RNAcentral's name for it is "bacterial SSU rRNA". It matches the Rfam family "Bacterial small subunit ribosomal RNA", at positions 356 to 869 of the family's 1533-position model. Lineage: Bacteria; Bacillati; Cyanobacteriota. The record is from RNAcentral.